AUGCGGAUGGCAGAUCACUCACACCACGGGGAUGCCUGGGUGAUGGAGGAGGCGGUACCCGUCAGGGCUUCGAGGCUGCCGACCACCUUGAACUUCGACGGAUGCUCGCAGGCUUCGUGCCCUCGGGCCUCUCUGCGGCUGUUUCCUCCACGCAGGGGUCUUGAGAGGGGACUGCAGGAAGCAAUGCCUGUGAAACCAACUGCUUGGCGCAGAGAAGUCCUGAGUCUCAUCCUCACUGCCAGCCUCGUCACCACCAGCACCAAGGACCUAAGCUCUCCUAAGGCCGCGCCUUGCUGCUGCUGCCUGUAGACAUGAGGGUCUGAGCCCCGUGGGUCUCUGUUUCCAGAACUGGCCCUACCAGAUCCAACCCGGCCUCCGACUGGCGUUAUGCUCCCUUACAGCCCAGGGGCCAUUCUUGGAGGGUCCCCAAGGCCGGCCAUCUCCAGCCUGGGCCUGGCAGAGCUACAGUACCGGACAGAGCCUCCCGGGGAAGGGCUCCAUGCCCUCAUCCAAAGGCUUUUGUCUUUUUUAUCUUUUUGCUUUUUCAGGGCCACUCCCAUGGCAUAUGGAGGUUCCCCAGCUAGGGGUCGAAUCAGAGCUACAGUCGCUGGCCUCCACCACAGCCACAGCAACGCCAGAUCCGAGCCGCGUCUGCGACCAACACCACAGCUCACGACAAUGACAGAUCCUUAACCCACGGAGCGAGGCCAGGGAUCGAACCCACAACCUCAUGGUCCCAGUCGCAUUCACUUCUGCUGUGCCGAGACGGGAGCUCCAAAAGGCUUUUGUCUUUAAAACUCUGGUGUUGAUAGAAAAGCCACAAACUGCCCAACUUCAGGUCUUUCUCACUAAUCUCUGUGUCCUCAGAAUGGGCAUCUGGCUGGUAAGAAGCUCGGUGAGAAGGCUCCUCAUCUGAGCUCCCCAGCUUCUUAUACAAAAGCAGUUAUCGCAGGAAUUCCUUUAUCACAGGCCGCCCACAGAGUCUCGGCCUCAUCACCUUCUCUGGUCCAUAAAAGCCCUCAAGAAGCCUAACGGGCUAGCUGAUCUUGUGCAAUUAGCUUACCCACUCUGAUGCCGUGUCCUGACCUGUAAAAACGAAAGAGCCAGGCUGAACCAUCCCCUCCCGAACCCUCCAAUCCAGCUACAAGGGCAGUCUACAGGGAUCGGUGCAAAUGGCACAGCUUUUCUGUACUGCGCGUGCCCCAGACACCUGCGUUUCUGUCACCUCAGAUUGUCCUCAGCGACCCCGAGCAGCCGCUGUGUGAUGUCCAUUUGAUGCCGGAGGAAACUAAAGCUUAAAGGGGUUAAAGUGAUUCGGCCAAGACCAAGCAGGUGGAGACAGAGCUGAGACCUGAAGGAGCCCUGGGCAGGGUCGAAGCCCCAGAGCCUGGAAGGGAACGCGUCACAGCCGCAACCCCUUCCAGGCAGUGGGAACGGUGGCACCUUUCCCAUUUUAUGACUUUCAAGCGAAGGGCAACAGGCACGCCAAACCCGAACCUCAUGUGGCUCGACUCCUACCUACCCUGCCUUUUUACGGGCCUUGCCUCUCCCCGGGUUCGUGAAAGUUUGCUGUGCACACACUCUGGGCAAAGCCCAGAACCCUCCGGGCUCCGUGGAAAUGGCUACAGCAACGGGAGCCCAGGGGGCUGGGACACUUUGAGUCACUGCUUACAAAUGCUCAGCAGUAAAACCGUCAGCAUCCUCUCCCUCUGAUGAUGGGAGAACACGCUCUAGUCAGAGUCUGCAGCUGCGCCUCUCCAACCCCGGAGGGGAGGAGGGUCCCGUGGGCCCCAUCAGUAGCCGCUAGAGGUCCAUAGGUCUACAGUGGGCCAAGGAAUCUGCAUUUAGUAGGCUGCCCUGCAUGCCUCUGCUGCCAGAAACUACCCACUUCGCUGGCUGUUUAAUGAGCAUCUACUAGUGAUGGGAUGCCUGGAUCCACAGCUGCGGCCCCGCCCGCCUCCUACUCCGCACAGAUCCUUAGCGAGUUUUUGUUGACUGGGUGAGGGAGACAGGACUCGGGCCUUGUCCUCACUGCAGUUUCCUGCCAGCCACCCACUGCACGGUGACUCCCUGUCUGACCCAGGCCGGGGAGUCAGACACACACCCGUUUUCCACCUCUGCCUCGGAGGCAGGGACCCCAGCCAAGAGGAACUAAAAAUCACCUGCUUUGUAUUGUUAAUUCAGAAGGCAAACGCCACCGUCCCCUGAGCCGCAGCCCUCAGGACAGGGGAGGGGCAGUGGAGGGCCUGCCACCCCCCACCCGCCCCCCACUCCCGGCUUCCCCGGACAGGCCGAAGAAUGCGGCCACGGUCCCGCAACCCCUGGGCGGCAGAGCCAGGACUAGAAGCCAGGCUCAGGUGUCUUCUCCGGGCUGAGCCUGAGGAAGACAUCUUUUGGUUGUGACAGUUGCGGGUCUCAGAAUUGGGGACAGGUACUCCUGGCACCCGACCCUCCAUCAGCAGCCAGGCAUUUCUGUGCGUUAACCAGUGCCCUCUUUCCCGCAGGGCUACAGAUGAGCCCUCCGCUCAGUCUGGGGGAUGCACUUGGCAGAUCACGUUCCCGCUCAUGUGCUCCCAGUGACGCAAGGGCUUCCGAUCUGGCAGGUGAGGGCAUCAAACAGCCGCGCGGGCAGCUGUGACUGUUUCCGAUCGCCAGUACAACUAAGGGCAGAGUUUCAUUCACUCUCCUCAGCCUUGACAAUGACAUAAUGAGAGGGGGUGGGACGAGAAACCUGGGCUUUUCCUCACCUGCCCGCAGAGCAAUCUGAUGCCAGACCAGCAUGACGGAGAAACGGGCCCUCCUUAUGCCCAUUUGAUAGAUGGAGAAAUAAAGGCCCAGGGAUAUGAAUUCUUCUUCGUGGUUUUUUUUUUUUUUCAGAGAUGUGCAUUUUACCAGGUUAUUACUAUAUGUGUAAUUUAUGUUUAUAAAUUAAAUGUAUACAAUUUAAUUCAGACAGUUGCCUGAAUUAAAGAGCGACAUCUAAACGUAGCCUUCCCAUCAGGAAGGCGAGCAGGUGGCGAGAAUGCGGUUGCCUGUCACUGGGGAGUAGCCCUUAGCUCCUUUCCUUUCUGGCUUGGAGACCUUGCCAAGCACCGUCCUCUCCUUCCUACCCGACCUAGAGUUUGGGUGGAUCAAGUGCAUUUGCAAAGGGCUUUGAACGUUGCAUUCACUAUCCGAAGUCAACAAUGCUCCUUCUGGAAAUUUAUCCUGAGGGUCUGAUUCAAAAAAUGAGACUGCUACAGUAGGACGUUGGUGUAGAUGGACAGAUGGACAGACGGCUGGACUCAAUAAAGACCUUUAGGACGUGCCGGGCGCCAGGCACUGUGCUACAGGCCCUCAGAUGGAUCCUGUGGUCCAGCCUCUGCGCUCGUGUAACUCGCAGCUCUGAUCGCCACACCAUGCAGGCGAGAGACGAGUCAACGUGCAGUUUGCUAGCGUGUCGCAAGCUCUUUAAUGGAGGAAGAUGGGGGCUGAAGACGAGGUGAAGCUGGGAUUAGCACCCUGGGGAGAGGCGGCAUCCCGAGCUGAGACAGCGAAGGUGCAGGAGAGAUCUGGAAGCCUGGGCCAAAGCAGAGCGGUGAUCAACAGGCUUUGGUCCUAGGUAGGAACUGGUGGGGGACUAGAGGGAAGGGUCGGGACCCCCAGGUCCUGGCUCUACGGAUGGAUGAUGGGGCCUGAGGAGGGCAGUUUAGGGGGACGUCUCCGAAGGAGGGCUCUCCGAUGACUGUGACGUCCAAGGAGAGACACACAGGGGAGCACACGGGUGCCAAGCAGAAAACUGGCAAGAACCUCAACAUCAAGUAAGAGAGACAGUUGAGCUGCAUUCCUAGUCACAGCCGGAGACCAAGGCUCACCCACUGCAAAGAGAACCGUGCCCAAGCGUGUCCCCUGCAGGACUGGUCAUUAGAGGUUGCUGGGAAAUGAGAUCCCACAUGGAAUAUUAGACAACAGUGAAAAUCCUCAAAAUCUGCACGAAUCCACCCGGAGGAAUCACCAAGGCAGUGAGACAAGCAAGCAGCCUAAGGAUAUAUACAGCAUUAGGCCGUUUAUGUAAGAUUUUAGAUCUGCAAAAUACACGGAGUUGAAGUAAAAGCAUAAACAUGGGACACUGAAGGCCGCCAUCGUUUUAGGAAAGGGGGACCCAGGGCUGGCUUCAUGGCUGUGCCCCUCACCCAGGCAGUCAUACUGGGCCCUGGCCAUGGCUGAAUGCUUUGCUGGGGCCAUCUUGAAAUUCAUAAUGUUUUGGGUUUUUGUCUUUUUAGGGCCACAGCCACAGCAUAUGGAGGUUCCCAGGCUAGGGGUCGAUCGGAGCUGUAGCUGCCGGCCUACACCACGGCCACAACAACGCCAGAUCUGAGCCACGUCUGCGACCUACACCGCAGCUCACGGCAGCGCCGGAUCCUUAACCCACUGAGUGAGGCCAGGAUCGAACCCGCAACCUCAUGGUUCCUAGACGGAUUCGUUAACCACUGCACCACAGGGGAAACUCCCUCAAAACUCUUUUUAAAUUAUCAAUAUGUGUUAUAUCGAUGUGGUGUAGUGUUCCUUGUGCUUUUCUAUAUGUUGGAAAUCGUUUAUAAUAUAGAAACAGUAAAGGUGUAGUUAUAUAAAAAAGUGGCUUCUUUACUUGAAAUACUCUGCAGAGGACAGAAAGCUAUACGGAAAAUGUGUAAAAAGCACGCAUGACAUUAAAUGAAACAGGAUGAUAAAAUGUUUACAAGACUGUUACAGUUCCACACAUAAAUGACGUGUCAAGUAGUUUGUGAGUGUGACAUAAGGAGUGUGAACAAGUGAAACAUGAUUAGGAAGGCAGAAACAAUCCCUUUACUAUUUUCAUCGGUGUUAUGAUUUUGUUUUUACAAUGAGUAAAAUGUAAGUUUCUGUCUGCUUUCUAUACUAACAAUCAGCGCCUCCGAUAAACUAUGUUGCUGGGUGUGAACUGUAUCAUUUAAGUAACAAAUGUGCACCGGAGCGGGGAUAGUUUGUUCUUCCUUAACAGCCGCAGGUGCAGCAAACGGAAGUCCCUGGAGCUGCAGCUGAGGCCCACGCCACAGCCACUGCCACUGCCACACCAGGUCUGAGCAGAUGUGCGACCUACGCCGCAGGUUGCGGCAACGCCAGAUCCUUAACCCACUGGGCGAGGCCAGGGAUCGAACCUGCAUCCUCACUGACGCUAUGCCAGGUCCUGAACCAGCUGAGCCACAAUGGGAACUCUGUAAGAGGGACAUUUUAAAGACUCAAGAUCUCCGUAUAAAAGAGUAGCUACGAUGGAAUUGUUUGGGGAACCCUCCCUAAAAUGAGCUGUGAACUGGAAGUCCGGCUGGAGUCCCACCUGGGCACUAAGCUCAGAUUUGGCCAAACCUCUUCUCCACUCUGAGACUCGGAUUCCCGGUCUCACCACGAAGGGCCUGCACAGGAGCAGCCACCCUGACAGGCCUGGCGUGGGCGUCUCCUCGGGGCCUCCGCACUGACUGUGACGCUCUGGUCCCCUCGCCCGUUUCCAGGAGACGGCACCUGGGCCCUGCGUAGUCUGGCCGCAGAGGCGGCUGGCGUCAGGACACCGAGAGGAGAACCCGGGUCAGCAGGGCACCCCGGGAGCACUUGACACGGGCUGGAAUCUCCUUGGCUCCUGCAGCAGCAGAAACUGCAGAGUCCCAGGCAAAGGGCCCGGACCGUGGGCCCAGCCUCACGGGUGCAGCCCCGCUCUCUUCAGCUGCCCCACAAAUACUGACAGACCCCGCGAAAGGAGAAAAACACAUCGAAAGGGGAUAGCCCACCUUCUGCGGAGUUAUUUUUUCAUUAUAAAUUAUUUUAAAUUACACAAGUGACACAUAAUUAUUAUAUCCUUGUAUGAAAAAGGGAAAAAAUGCAAAAGAAGGAGAAGCCUCUCCAAGCACCUGCGCCCAACUAACUACCACUCCCUCCCACACGCACAUGCGUGAGUGUUCCACCAGUGGCCUGGAGGAAAAGAAAAAGUUGUUUUCUUUGAUUUAUAUACUCAUUAUAAAACCCACAAACUCUCAGAGCUCCCUGGCGGCCUAGUGGUUAAGGGUCCAGCAUUGUCAUUGCUGUGGCUCAGGUCACUACUGUGACAUGGGUUGGAUCCCUGGCCUGGGAACAGCGGUGGGCAUGGCCCAAAAAACUCCAAAAACGUACAAACACUCAAAGUUUCAUUUGAGACUUUGAAACAAAAAAUGGAAUCUUACAGAGUACCCUUGUGGCACAGUGGGUUAAGGAUCUGGCCUUGUCUCUGCGGUGGGGUGGGUUAGACCCUUGGCCUGGGAACUUUCGCAUGCCAUGGGCACAGCAAAAAAAAAUAAAAUAAAAA
Molecule: transfer RNA, 6328 nt
Filed under: Sus scrofa (pig)
Lineage: Eukaryota; Metazoa; Chordata; Mammalia; Artiodactyla; Suidae
Description: lncRNA (ENSSSCG00035033980.1)
Source: RNAcentral